AACUCAACUCAACUCAACUCAACUCAACUCAAAAGGGUCUUCUCACUGCCCAUAUCAGAGGUGCCAUGAUCCAGUGUGACUUGAUGCACCCAGACAGGCUGGGACCCCUCAGCAGGCCCGCAGUGGACAGCUGUGAUUACUGCUGACAAUAAUUUAUGGUCCCCUCUGAUUGAAAACAUGAGAGAUGGAGAUAGAAAGGCUGGUGCCGAGUCAAGGCACCACCUUAAGAUAUAAAACUGAGGCCACAGCUGCUGUCAGAGGCAGAACUCCUGCCAAGCUCUACGGGCCUUCUGCCCAUCCAGACAAACACCAGCUCUCAUUUUGCUCUCUUUUUUCUUUCUUUAUAUUUGCCAUCCUCCUUUGCUUUCCCUUUUACAGACCUCCUCUGCAUUGUCUCUCACAUAUAUUUUAUCUUGCUCAUACUUCACUUACACUCUGUUCUUUAUUUUCAACUUUUAUAUGCAAUAUAAACAUCCAUCAUAAUAUGGAGCUACACCAUGUGUAAUAAUUGUCUGAAAUGAAAAAGGAACAAACAGUUAUCCACUCGGGGCUGAUCAGGUGUCUCUGCAGUGAGCUUUUCCAGCCCUGAGAUUACCAUGCUAAUCCUAACAAUAGCAAUGUGCGGCUGGUUUGAACAACUAUCUGCGCCAUUGUUUAUGUUGUCAUCCCUGCUGGAUCACACUCAUGAGGAGUAACCAUUUGAGUGGAUUUGCAUUUACUAUUUCAAUGCCAUAUCCAGGGAUGAAGAUCUCUUCCUCUGAAAGGAUGCGUGUUCUGGGUUUUAUGUUCUCUGUCUAAAAAAGGCCCUGAACCAAAGAGAAGGGGAGCAAAGCUCUUGUGGAAAUGAGACUGAAAUUAAACAAUCCACUCAACUUGAUUGAAAAAGAUUUAAAUGGAAUCAGAUGGA
Plectropomus leopardus (leopard coralgrouper) is the source of this 907-nucleotide non-coding RNA. The record is from RefSeq and is a predicted model, not a curated record. Lineage: Eukaryota; Metazoa; Chordata; Actinopteri; Perciformes; Serranidae.